Molecule: long non-coding RNA, 329 nt
Organism: Arabidopsis thaliana (thale cress)
Lineage: Eukaryota; Viridiplantae; Streptophyta; Magnoliopsida; Brassicales; Brassicaceae
Product: other RNA
Exons: 1
Source: RefSeq
GCUCCGUACCAUUGUUUCUUCCACUUGGCAUCAUAUUUGUUCACCUUUUGUUACCCGAUUCAGUGAUCACAAUUACACAAAUUAAAAAGUAUAUAUAAAACUCUGCAACAAUACUAUAUACAGAGACUUCAAUGUCUUUGUUCCAUUACUAAAAUGUACUGCUUAUUCAUGUUUCUAAAGAUUAUCUUGAGAAUCAAAAAAGAUUUAUACUUUAUGAAGUGAUUGAUGAAAGUGCAAAAGAUCUCAGAACUUAAACAAAGGAGAUGAUUAAGAGAGUUAGUUACCUUUUUCUGGGGAGCCAUAGCUACGACGGAGAAAGUUGCUGGUGA